GUCUAUGUUUGAAGACAUAAGACAACUACUGUCUGUUUGUCAAAAUAAACGGAUCAUUUUAUAUUGUGAAAACCGGUACUGGACUUGAAUUGUCUCGCAAUUACAACGCAGUUACUCAUAAAUUAUUUGCUUAGUUAAAUUAUUAAAAAAAAACGGAUUAAUUUUCUCACGUUACCGAUUUUUUGGCGAUUGUAAGUUCAGACUAAUAUAUUUUACAACGAUUGUACAACAAGUUCUUACAUUAUAUUAAACAAUUUCGUUGGCUCGAUUUCACGCGAGAGUGCGGUCUUGUGUUCUUUCAAAAUUGUAAAUCAGCUACAAACGAACAGAAAAUACUUGGAAUUUUAUGAAAUAUUAGAUGGUUAAGUGAACAACAGACUUCUACAGGACGGAUUUAUUGAAAGGAUAGAUAUCAAUUAUUAAAGUGGAACUGGUGAUUACAAAAUGACGGGCCUAUUUGAAGGUGAAACAAUGCUCCUAAUAUAUAUACGGGAACGGAUCUAGGAUUUGACGUUAAAGGAGGACGGGGCGUAACUUAGAGGCCGCGGUUGCGCGCGAGGUCCCGGACCUGCUAUGGCUUAUCAGCAUAACGGUCUGACCGCAAGCGUGAAUGCCGUGACUAGGUGUCGCUCCAUGUCGGUGCAUACAAACUCAACAAGGAAGGCAAGGUCAAAGACAGAAAAAACCCUGACGUGUACCUUGAGAUAUCCCGCAGUAUUGACAAUGUGACGUUCCAUCCAAUCUACCGCACGGAGAAGGACAAGAAGACACAACAACCCAGAUGGCGUCCUUUCGAACUUGGGGAGCAGCAUGUGUAAUGGAGGUUGGGAUCGCCACCUUGAAGUGUGGCUCCACAGACUGGCAACUCGUUGGUAAACUAUAAAAAGCCGGAAUGGAUGACUCGCUGAGACUAUACGCACUUCUCAGGUUGGCCAACGGAUAUGUUACCGAUUCUUGCAUACCGGACGUGUGUAUGUCAUGUGACCAGUGCUGGAAAAACCCGUCUUACAACCCCAAUAAAAUCGAUCAAGCAUUUCAGCGGCCUAGCGGCGUGAAGUUAUAUAGCGGCCUAGCGGCCCCAAACGGUUUCCUUUCCUCAACAACAGCUCUGCCUUUCCGCGAUAAAGACGUGAAGUUAUCAUUUUCGUUCCAAAAUCGUGUCCAUGGUGAUUUAUACUUCUGUCAAUUGGGGAUCUCACAUGAAUGCUGUCGCACUGAUCCAGAGUAUCAGCUGUGUGAGCGAGAGGAUGAAAUUGUCGAGUGGAAGAUGAAGCAUGGCUAGCUUGCAGAGAAGUACGCUCGCUUCAAGGAGAAGGUGGACGGCAUGGAGCGUUACCUCGCCGACCUGCCCACGCUCGAAGAGUUUACCAAGAAUGCAGAAGAUAUAUUCUUUAUACACAGUGAAUGGGAAUAGAAAUGUUAAUGAAGUUUAAGGGGAUUGGGAGAUGUUUGUGUUAUUAGUUAGGUAUUAUUAGGGUUUGUUUUGGAUAACCUAAUAAUUUAACACCCUUGAGGAGUUCAUGAAGCACGUGGGGGAAUGAGUUCCUUUGUUGUGUUGGGCUGGUGUCAAUAAAAAUAUGAGCUAGUCUGUGCCAUUGAUAUCUACUAAACUGUUCACUCUGUAUUUGCUAGCCUGCUUGAUAUAAGCAUUAGAGUUAUACUGUGCCGUAGAUAUCUGCUAGACAGUCUAGACUUAAUACAACUGUGCCAUCAGAAACAGCUUAACUGUGCCCUAGAUAUGGUCUAAAUGCUUUAAUUUUCAUACAUUCUACUCAUACCUGGAUCCACACCUACACAUACAUAAGAGUUCUGCAUCCUCAAUGUCACAAAAAUAAGUUCUUGUAUUCAUUCAACUGUAGAACUCUAUGAACUGACAGCAUUUAUAUCACGGAUAUGUUUUUUUUUCUUUUGUGUUUUUUUUCAGACAAGCAGAAGCACCUGGCAGGCAAAAUGCGUGAAGUGAGCGCAGAGAUCUAUCGCAUGAAGACUCACGGGGAGGGGAAGGCCCUUGCUCUGUGUCAGGAGGAGCUUGCAGAGACACGAGAGGUCAAUGACAAGGUCACACGAGACCUUGGGAAGGCAAAAAAGGAAAAAGGUGAAGUAACUUUUUAGCAAGUUUAUUAAAUAUUGGUGCUAAAGUGGACAAUACAAACGGUCUUUAUGAUCAAAGUUGUACAUACCUGGACGACAUCCAUAGACUCUUCUGUACGGGCGUUAACAGUACACGUGGCGCACGUGAAUUCUAGCUCGGCACCAACAAGGUUCGAGAUGUCAUACUGGACAAUUGUUAUAACCGUACAAAAUCGUAGAUGCUUCCAACGUUCAGAAAUGUUGCAUUCCACGGCGCGGUGGUUGGAAUAAACACCUCUAGAACAGUGGGAUAUAACGAGCACAAGGCAUUGUAAUAGAUCUUUUUCAGUUUAAUCGCUGAUAUGGUACAUUAUAAAGUUAAAAUAACCUGUGAGUACAAUUAUAAUUCAUGGUCCGAAAUGCGGUACGUUAUAAAGUUAAAACAAACCGUGUGUAAAACAAUAAAUCAUGGUCCGUUCUGUCUCCAAAUAUGGUACGUUACAAAGUUUAAACAAACUGUAUGUUACGCAAUCAAUACGUGAGUAAACUAAUUAUUCACUUAUCUCAAAAUACAACAACACAAACAGUUUAGGAAUUGGCAACGUAUUUGGAGAACAUGUACACAGGAAAAGGCAUAAUUCAGAAGCUGGAAGAUUGGUUAUAGCGUCUGAGCACAUCUGGAUCGUAACCUUGGUCAAUCGUGGCCACAUCCGUCCUUAGAGUCAGCAACAUCAAUAACGACUGGUAUCUUAGAAAACAUCAUGCAACAACUGAAACGAAACUAAACAUACGGUCUUGAGAAUUAUAUCAGUAGAGGGAAUUUCGACCAAAACGAGUUUCAGUAACAUCUUGUCGAAUUCUUAGAGCUAUUUCAGUGAUGGUACGUGGCCGAGCGAACAUGAAGUCACACAUAAAUCUAUUUGUCGUACAAUGUGAAAAUUGUUGCCAAUUGCAAACUUUAUUCCUAGUAUUGUCUUGUUGUUUUAUGCUGGUGUCAAAACAAUUUUGAUAAGUGAAUAAUUGUUUUAUUCACAAUUACCAACGUGAGUAAAAUCUAUUUAUCUUUGCCGGAGCAAGAAAAUGCCGGGCCCAUAGGGUCAAAGAGAAGGAUAGAAAUAAUGCAGUACUAUCGUCAAGUUCGUUUAGUAUAAAGAUAAGCAUGUUAUUUUUAACAAGGACAGAUCUACGUUUGGGUUAUUGUAUAUACAUGUAUUAGCCUUUUUACAAGGUAAUAAUAUGGUUGACGUUAUUGUUUAUGUGUGCCUUUACACAUGAUUAUUGUACAUUUAGGGCUAUUGUUUAUGUGUGUCUUUAUCCAAGAUCAUAGCUGGCUUAGGGCUAUUGUUUAUGUGGGUCUUUAUCCAAGAUAAUAGCUGGCUUUGGGCUAUUGUUUAUGUGUGUCUUUAUCCAAGAUCAUAGUUGGCUUUGGGCUAUUGUUUAUGUGUGCCUUUAUGCCCUAUCAUAUUUAGUUUUAGGCUAUUGUUUUUGUGUCCAUUUUUACAGGAUUGUAGUCGGUUUAGGGCGAUUGUUUAUGUGUACAUUUAUACAAGAUAAAGGAAAGUUUAUGUAAGCCUAUAUACAGGAUCAUAGUAGGUUUUUGCCGAUUGUUUAUAUUUAUAUUUAUAUCAGAUAAAACUAGUUUUUGGGCUAUUGUAUAUGUUAGCUUUUAUACAGGAUCCUUAUAGGUUUGUGGUGAUUGUUUAUAGGUGCCUUCAUACAAAUUAAAAGUAUAUUCUAUUUAUUGCUUAUGUGUUAUUUUAUGCAAGAUAAUAGUCGAUUUGGGAUUAUUGUUUCUGCUUGUCUUUAUACAAAAUAUAAGUAGGUGUGGUGAUAUCGUUUGUAGGUGCCUUUAUACAAGAUCAUAUGUUGAUUUCUAGCAAUUUUUAUUUAUACCUUCAAACACGAUAAUUUAAGGCUCUUGUUUAUGUGUGUUUUUAUACACGAUAAUAGUUGGUUUGACGCCUUUAUACACGGUCGUGGUAGAUUUGGGGUUAUUGUUGAUGUCUGCAUUCAUACAAGAAUACAGAAGUGUUAGGGCUAUUGUUUUAUGUGCCUUUAUACAAGAUAAAAGUAGCUUAGGGAUAUUGCUUAUGUGUGCCUUAAAAACUAUUUAUACAAUAUCAUAAUUAGUUUAACGGUUAUUGCUUAUGUGUCUAUUUCUACAAGAGGGUUGUAGGUUUGGGAAAAUUGUUUAUAUGUGACUUUAUUUUAGAUCAUAACAUGUUUGGGGAUACUAUUUACGAGUGAAUUUGUACAAGUCAAGGAAGGUUUAGGGCUGCUCUUUAUGUGUGACUUUAUACAAGGUAAAAGUAGAUUUUAAACACGAGCAAAGUUGGUCUUGGGCUAUUGUUUAUUUAUGUCUUUAUGUAGGAUUUUAGUAUGUUUGGGUUAAUUGUGUAGGUGUGCCUUAAUACAAUAUCAUAGCAGGGUUAAGGAUAUUGUAUAUGUUUGCAUUUGUACAAGAUGAAAUAACCAUACGGGCUAUUUCUUUUGUGUGCCUUUAAACAAGAUCAUAGGUGGUUUGAUAAUAUUGUUUAUGUGUGGUUUAAUACAAGAUCAUAGUUAGAUUUGGGCUAUUGUUCAUAUGUGCCUUUAAAUACGCUCAAUGAAUGUUUGGAAUUGUUGUUUAUGUUUGCAAGAUAAAAGUAGGUUUGGAAUUUGUGUGGCAUAAUACAAGAUAACAAUAGGUUUUAGGCUAUAGGUUUAUGUGUGACUUUAUACAUAAUAAAUGUAGGUUUGGGGUUAUUGUUUUGUGUUAGACUUAAUAUAAGGUAAAAGGUUUCAUGCUUUUAUGUUUAUGUGUGCUUUUGCACAACAUAGCGUAGGUUUUGGGUUAUUGUUUAUGAUUGCAUUUAUUCACGGUAAAAUGUUUGGGGAUUUUUUUAUGCCUCUAUACAAGAUAAAAGCAGGUUCGGGGCUUUUAUUUAUGUGUGCCUUCAUACAAAAUAAAAAUACGGUUAGGUCUAUUGUUUUUGUGCACUUUUUAUACAAAAAAUAGUAGGUUUGGGGCUUCUGUUUAUGUUUGCCUUUAUUCAAAGGUAUAGUUAGUAAAUGGCUGUUGUAUGUGUGCGCUUUUAUACUAGAUAAUAGUCGGUUAAGGGCUAUUGUUUAUUAGAGUAUAUCAGGAUUGUUGAUAUUGUUUAUAUGUGCAUCUAUACAGGAUAAUACAAGUUUUAGGGAUAUUGUAUAUGAGUGCCUUUAUACAAGAUAAAAGUUGGUUUAGGAAUAUGAUUGAUGUGUGCAUGUAAACAGUUUUAUAGUAUGCUUGGUGCUAUGUUUAUAUUUAUACAAGACAAAAAUAUGUUUGAGCCUUUUGUUUUUGAGAGCUUUUAUACAGGA
Molecule: long non-coding RNA, 5409 nt
Organism: Mya arenaria
Lineage: Eukaryota; Metazoa; Mollusca; Bivalvia; Myida; Myidae
Exons: 11
Source: RefSeq, a predicted model, not a curated record